UGGAUCCAGACUUUGAUUCUGGCUCAGGAUGAACGCUAGCUACAGGCUUAACACAUGCAAGUCGAGGGGCGGCGGGAUUGAAGCUUGCUUCAAUUGCCGGCGACCGGCGCACGGGUGAGUAACGCGUAUCCAACCUUCCGUACACUCAGGGAUAGCCUUUCGAAAGAAAGAUUAAUACCUGAUGGUAUGAUGAGAUUGCAUGAUAGCAUCAUUAAAGAUUUAUCGGUGUACGAUGGGGAUGCGUUCCAUUAGGUAGUAGGCGGGGUAACGGCCCACCUAGCCAACGAUGGAUAGGGGUUCUGAGAGGAAGGUCCCCCACAUUGGAACUGAGACACGGUCCAAACUCCUACGGGAGGCAGCAGUGAGGAAUAUUGGUCAAUGGACGAGAGUCUGAACCAGCCAAGUAGCGUGAAGGAUGAAGGUCCUACGGAUUGUAAACUUCUUUUAUAAGGGAAUAAACCCUCCCACGUGUGGGAGCUUGUAUGUACCUUAUGAAUAAGCAUCGGCUAACUCCGUGCCAGCAGCCGCGGUAAUACGGAGGAUGCGAGCGUUAUCCGGAUUUAUUGGGUUUAAAGGGAGCGCAGACGGGUCGUUAAGUCAGCUGUGAAAGUUUGGGGCUCAACCUUAAAAUUGCAGUUGAUACUGGCGUCCUUGAGUGCGGUUGAGGUGUGCGGAAUUCGUGGUGUAGCGGUGAAAUGCUUAGAUAUCACGAAGAACUCCGAUUGCGAAGGCAGCACACUAAUCCGUAACUGACGUUCAUGCUCGAAAGUGUGGGUAUCAAACAGGAUUAGAUACCCUGGUAGUCCACACGGUAAACGAUGGAUACUCGCUGUUGGCGAUAUACUGUCAGCGGCUUAGCGAAAGCGUUAAGUAUCCCACCUGGGGAGUACGCCGGCAACGGUGCAACUCAAAGGAAUUGACGGA
RNAcentral lists this ribosomal RNA (924 nucleotides) under uncultured Bacteroidota bacterium. Its description in RNAcentral is "bacterial SSU rRNA". It matches the Rfam family "Bacterial small subunit ribosomal RNA", at positions 1 to 917 of the family's 1533-position model. Lineage: Bacteria; Pseudomonadati; Bacteroidota. The record is from RNAcentral.